This 965-nucleotide long non-coding RNA is filed under the name Homo sapiens (human). RNAcentral's name for it is "HSALNT0188093". The record is from RNAcentral. Lineage: Eukaryota; Metazoa; Chordata; Mammalia; Primates; Hominidae.
AUUAUAAUAUUUUCUUUUAAAAAUGUUAAUAAUAAAAGUUAAAAUUAUAUAUUUGCCUUUUAGGGCAAUUAUUAGUUUAUUCAACAGUCUUACUGAAUGUUGGCUGGGGGCCAGGCAAUAUUUCAGGUGCUGGGGAUAGAACAGUGAACAAAACAGACAAAAGUCCCUAGCUUCAUGGAGCUUAUAUUCUAGUAGGAGAUGGUGAAAAUUAAGUUAAAGAUGUAAUAUAUUAUGUAGUAUAUGAGAAAGUGAUAAAUUCUAGGAAAAUAACAACAGCAGAAAUGGGAGAUAAGGAAUUCUGGAGAGUAGAAUUUGUAACAUAAUUAAUGCUAUAAUUUUAUUUUUGUCUAAAUAGUAUGAAUUUGCAUUUUUUGCUUCUCCUUUGCCAAUAUUUAUUGAAAAGAAUGCUUUACAUUUUCUAAAUGGAUUUUAAAACUCUUAUGAUUUAUUUCUAGCUUCGUUGAAUUGUGGUUGGAGGAUGUGGCCUGUGCAGAUUUUGCGUUGGUGUAUUUAUUAGUGUUUUCUUUGUGGCGGGGCUGUGUCAGUUUGCGUUGUUCUCAGUGCAAGUGCCUGAAAACCCAGCUGAGGGGCUUGAAUGACUAAGGGGCUGAUUUGUGCCCUACGACAAGUCCACAGGAGAAAGCCCAGGACCGCCUUGAAGGAAGCAGGCUCUUUCUGUUUUCCUGCUCUGCCAACUUAUGGAGAUGGUGCUGCUGCAUCUUGGGCAUCCUGUGUAUGGUCCAAGCAGGAAGGAAGAGGAACAGGGAGAGGAGGCACAUGUAGAUUUGUGUUUCUGUCUCUUUGGCAAGAACUGAACCAUAUGGGCACUGCCAGCCACAAGACAGCCUAGCUGGGCUUGUUUUCAGUUUUCUAAUCUCUAGCUUAGAGCAUAAAGUUUAUAAUGAUUGUUAGAUAGGCCAACCUAAUGAAUCUAGUACAAUAUCAAUUUUCAUAUAUGUAACAAA